ACGGACUUAAAAUCCGUCGACUUUAAAAAUCGUGAGGGUUCAAGUCCCUCUAUCCCCUAA
This 60-nucleotide transfer RNA is filed under the name Bacopa monnieri. RNAcentral describes it as "partial tRNA-Leu". It matches the Rfam family "tRNA", at positions 26 to 71 of the family's 71-position model. Rfam says of the family: Transfer RNA (tRNA) molecules are approximately 80 nucleotides in length. Their secondary structure includes four short double-helical elements and three loops (D, anti-codon, and T loops). The record is from RNAcentral. Lineage: Eukaryota; Viridiplantae; Streptophyta; Magnoliopsida; Lamiales; Plantaginaceae.